CACCACAUUAGCAUCAACACACUCUGCUUAUGAUUUAGGCAUCUGUACAGGGCACACAGGUCUCUAAAUGUUUUAGUCAAGGUUACUACCAUUAUGUCCUUAACAUAUUUGAAUAUAAGAAGGUAUUAUUAUGGAUUACUAUGAUGGAUUCUCUACUGUGGCUAAGAUUUUCUUAUAGAUUGUGGCCUAGCGACAUCAUCUGUUGCUCAGGCUUCUGAAACUUAGAAUAUUAAUACUUUAGUAGCACUGAACUUGGACUUAAAAUUUCCCCUCAUCCAUGUGAAAGUUUUGGGAUAGAAAGCAUUCUCUGCAAGUCUAAAACCUUCAGAGAUCAAAGGAACAGCACCCUUCAGGUUUAUCUCUUCCAUUAAGCAUUUUUACCUGGAAGAACAUAAAAAUACAGACUUUUCACAUACAUAGCUUUCUAGUGCCCCUCAUUUCUUUCUACCUAUUACUUUAAUCUGAUAAGAAAAUACGCAUGUACAUGGAUUGCUUAUAACAGUAAAAUUCACAUCAAAAUUAUGAGCCUCAAUUUUGAGAUAAUGUUUCAUCAAACACUCCAUGGUUCUAUUUAAACGUUUACUUCUGCAUUAUGUACAGACAAAGGUGUUCAAAAAUUUUUAAUAGAAUAUUAAGUAUGGUCCCCAGCUCCACUUUACAUAUCAAAACUUCCAACCCCCAAUUAUACCAUCCUAAGUAAUUUUAAACAGUUUCUACUAUAGAAUAUUUAAUGUGUUUUGGGGUAGUCUCUUCCUGCCAAAAACUUGAUGGUUAAAACGUCUGUGUAUGAUCUUUUGAAGGGAUUUCUAGACUUUUAAUAUCUUGAUUGCAAUCAUGUUUGAGAUCCAUUUAUGAUAAGCAAAAGUUUGAUUACAGUAUUUUGUGGGGCCAGAUUCUUGAAGGAAAAUGAAGACUAUUCAAGAUCAUAGUGAUUGCUUUAGGCUGUAUGUUAGACAUUUAAAAGUGAUAGAAAAUAGAGAAUAAUCCAAAAGUAGCUUUCAUUUUUGAGAAUAUUAAUUUCUAUAAUCUGGCUGUACAAAAGAAUCAACAAGGAGUAGUUUUCAAUAAUUCUGGUAUCUGGAUCAAAAAAUUGCUGAAAGAUAAUCUCUAGAAAUGUUUAAGAUUUUUUUUCCCCUGGAUGGUACUUAAUAUAGCCAUUCAGAUUUUUUUUUAAAUGACACCAAUUAAUAAUUUCAUGCUUAAAAGCACUUAAUUACACUUUGCAUCUCAUUUCUUACAUGUAAUGAGCUUGGACAUCAUCACACUAUCCUUACGUUAAAAAAAAAACUGGAAAAACUGAAAACUGAAAAUGAAUGAUUUCUCAGACACAUUAGAGAACUGAGGCCACAUAGCCCCAGAUCUAUAGAAACAAGUGUAUCCAGAGAGCUUGAACAGCUGCGAACUACUUACCGGGAAUAGCUGGUACUGGAGCCCUAAAGUGGUAGGAACACUUACCGGGUAAUCUUGAUGGAUUGGUGAACGUUGACUAGUGUGGACAUGAGAAGGUUCUCAGGAUCACAGUCUUGAAAGGCAGGUACCUCCGGGAAUCCCACCAAUUUCUCACGGUGAGGAUCCAAGAAAGAUAUUUUAUGACUCUGGAAAGGAAAAGGGAGGGGUAAUUAGCAUGUGAUAUGUUCAGAGCCUUCCCACCAUAAUAAAUAUGUACUCUCCAGGGGAAAGGACUUUUUAGGAGAACAUAGUUCUGAGCCUAAUCUCAGCCCCAUAGAGCCUCCUGUUUUAACUAAGAGGGAAGAAAACAGAGCCAACAGUGUUCUGGAACCCUGUAGCUAGAAAAGAAAUAGGUGGCAGAGGAAGAAAAAAAUACCACUGGAGAAACACUUGUGAAGGUCAUAGCUUUGAAAAACAGGUCACUACAAAAAUAGAUUUAGUUGAAAGAUUAGAGAAAUGAUUAAGAUAGUAUUUGAAGUAAUAACGGCUAAAUUUCCGAAACUAAUGAUAGACAUUAAACUACAUAACCAAGAAGCUCAGACAAUACCCAACAGAAUAAUAUGAAAACCAAUAUGAACAAUAACACUUCCCCAAAACGCUAUAGCUAAUAUUUAAUUCUCAAACCGUAGAGAUAAAUCUUAAGCCAAAGGAAAAAACAAUCUUACCCAUUGAUGAAUAAAGAUUACACUUCUCAUCAGAAGCCAUAAGAGAAUAGAAUGGAGUAAACAUUUAUGGAUUGAAAAAUGCCCCCAUCUAUUGAAACAGUCCUUCAGAAGUGAAAGAGAAAGAUUUUUCUCACACCCACAAAAACUGAAAGAAUUUAUUUCUACCCAGACUUGUCUUGCAAACCUUAAGAUGCUCUCAACAUAGAAAAGAAUAUGCCAGAAAUUUUUAUCAAUAUAAAGAGAAAGAAGGAGUAAGUGAAGGUACAAUAUUUUUUAUGAGUUGAUCUUAAAGGUACCUGCUUGCUUUAAUUCUAGUAACAGUAUUUAGGGUUGAUGUAUGUAAUAGAAAAACAAUGAGAGGAAAAACUCAAAAUUUUCUGUUUUAAGUAUAUGUACCACAUAUAAAUCAAUAUGAUAUUUGAAGGUAGACUUAGAAUAGUUAAAAAUGUGUAUUGAAAACUCUAGAGCAACUCUAAGCAGUGUAAUUGAUGUACUAGGAUACAAUCUUAGGCUCAACUAAAAUCAAAAAGGAAAGGGGGGGAAUGAAACAAGAAAUCCAACAAGUAGAAAACAGUUACGAAUAUGGUGUGUGUAUAUAUAUAUAUAUAUAUAUCUACAACUAUAGCAUUAAGGACUAAGUCAAUUAAAAGCAUUGACUAGAAAAAAAUGCCACCAAGUUCCAACUGUGUUGUGUAAAAAUAACUCUCUUUAAGUACGAAAAAAUAGAACAGCAAAGGGAUGGAGAAAACAUUAUGCUAAUAGUAAUCAAAAUAACUCAAUUAUCUAUAUUAAUGUCAGACAAAGCCCACUCAUGAAGAAGAAAGAUUAACAGGGUUAAAGAGGUACAUUAAAUAAUUAUAAAGGAUUCAGUCCUCUAAGAAAUAAAAACCCCAAAUGUCUAUGCAUAGGAAAAAACUGAUAGAUUUUUAAAAGAAAACAGGCAAAUACACUUAUUUUAGUUGGAGUCUUCAGCAUCUUUCAUUCAGGAAUUGACAGCUCAAACAAAAGCAAUAGAAUAUAGCGAUAUAAAUGUUUUAAGUGACAUUUAUAGAAUGCUCAAUCCAACAACAGGAAAAUAUACAAUAUUCACAUUAGUCUCAAGUUCAUAAGUAUUAAGAUUCACUACCUUGAGAUCCAUAAAACAUACUUGAACAAAUUUAAAAAUAGAAAUUCUCUAAAUUAUGUUCUCAGGACAAAAUGGAAAUUAACUAGAAAACGGAUAACUGAAAAAUCUCUAAUUGGGAAUUAACAUGAGUUCAAGCAAGUAUAAUAGAAAUUAAAAUAUUUUAAAGUAUGAAUGUAAAAAUACAAUGUGUAAAAAUCUGGGAUACAGCAAGAACAGUGGAUAUAAAGAAUUUUAUAGCAUGAAAUACAUUGGAAAAGAAGGUUGAUCUAAAUAAUAUAAGCUUUUCACCAUAGAAAAUUAGAGAAAUAUUUAAG
This 3554-nucleotide long non-coding RNA is filed under the name Sus scrofa (pig). RNAcentral's name for it is "lncRNA (ENSSSCG00000055963.1)". Lineage: Eukaryota; Metazoa; Chordata; Mammalia; Artiodactyla; Suidae. The record is from RNAcentral.